Long non-coding RNA from Passer montanus (Eurasian tree sparrow), 341 nucleotides. RefSeq lists it as uncharacterized. Lineage: Eukaryota; Metazoa; Chordata; Aves; Passeriformes; Passeridae. The transcript has 2 exons. The record is from RefSeq and is a predicted model, not a curated record.
AUCAACUGGUCCCCGAGCUCCCUGGGAAGAAUGUGAAUUUCUCUUCAGAGGGCUGCAAAUUUCCCCUCUGCUGCCUGAAGGUCCCUGACUCUCGGCCAGGGUGAACAGAUCAUCUGGAGCCUGUUUCAGACUCAGCAUUCACAGCUCUGCCAUGGAUCACGCUGCAGAAUCACAGCUCACCUCCAGCCACCCCUGAGCUUCUGCCUCCUAACAGCUACUGCAGCUCUCAGCAUUCCCAAUAAGAAUGAUCUUCAAAACUCCUGUUCCUUCAAUCAGCAUGAGAUUGAAGCAAAAAUAUUUUAAAAACUCAAACAGUAAUAAAAUCAAACAUAAGCUUUGCA